This 306-nucleotide signal recognition particle RNA is filed under the name Candidatus Methanoplasma sp. RNAcentral's name for it is "signal recognition particle sRNA". It matches the Rfam family "Archaeal signal recognition particle RNA". Lineage: Archaea; Methanobacteriati; Thermoplasmatota; Thermoplasmata; Methanomassiliicoccales; Methanomassiliicoccaceae. The record is from RNAcentral.
CGUUAGGCUUGACCGGGGAGCUUGGCGUGCCCUUCACCCGCAACCGUCAAUAGCGGGGGUGACUGCAGGGGGCGGCAGAGCUGAAGGUCCAAGCCCGCAGAGUGACUAUGAGAUCUUGUCCUGCAGAGUCGGAGUUUGUGCGCUGAACGACCGGAGGGUCGUAUCGCGCACAUUGAUCGGGGAAACCGGGUCAGGUCCUGACGGGAGCAGCCUUACCUCGUGCUACUGACGUUUGCGGGGUCGCAGGGUUGAGAAGCGAUGCGGUCCACCUGGAUCGGAUGUAAUGUCCACCUCUGUGGCCUAACA